GACGAACGCUGGCGGCGUGCCUAAUACAUGCAAGUAGAACGCACAGUUUAUACCGUAGCUUGCUCCACCAUAAACUGUGAGUUGCGAACGGGUGAGUAACGCGUAGGUAACCUGCCUGGUAGCGGGGGAUAACUAUUGGAAACGAUAGCUAAUACCGCAUCAUAUUGAUUAUUGCAUGAUAAUUGAUUGAAAGAUGCUAUUGCAUCACUACCAGAUGGACCUGCGUUGUAUUAGCUAGUAGGUGAGGUAACGGCUCACCUAGGCGACGAUACAUAGCCGACCUGAGAGGGUGAUCGGCCACACUGGGACUGAGACACGGCCCAGACUCCUACGGGAGGCAGCAGUAGGGAAUCUUCGGCAAUGGACGAAAGUCUGACCGAGCAACGCCGCGUGAGUGAAGAAGGUUUUCGGAUCGUAAAGCUCUGUUGUAAGAGAAGAACGGGUGUGAGAGUGGAAAGUUCACACUGUGACGGUAUCUGACCAGAAAGGGACGGCUAACUACGUG
This 505-nucleotide ribosomal RNA is filed under the name uncultured bacterium. RNAcentral describes it as "partial 16S ribosomal RNA". It matches the Rfam family "Bacterial small subunit ribosomal RNA", at positions 28 to 507 of the family's 1533-position model. The record is from RNAcentral.